Molecule: ribosomal RNA, 253 nt
Filed under: uncultured bacterium
Lineage: Bacteria
Description: partial 16S ribosomal RNA
Rfam family: Bacterial small subunit ribosomal RNA
Source: RNAcentral
UACGUAGGGUGCAAGCGUUAAUCGGAAUUACUGGGCGUAAAGCGUGCGCAGGCGGCUUUGCAAGACAGAUGUGAAAUCCCCGGGCUCAACCUGGGAACUGCAUUUGUGACUGCAUGGCUAGAGUGCGGCAGAGGGGGAUGGAAUUCCGCGUGUAGCAGUGAAAUGCGUAGAUAUGCGGAGGAACACCGAUGGCGAAGGCAAUCCCCUAGGCCUGCACUGACGCUCAUGCACGAAAGCGUGGGGAGCAAACAGG